CUCUGUUACAGUAGCUAUCAAAAGGUGGUUCCCCAGGUUUUAUCAGCGCUCGCGUCCAGUGUGUCACAGCUGACGUCGACUGACACUCGGUGGAAGUCCCUCUCCUUCCCUCGCGCUUUUUGUUCUCCGGUUUUGCUUCAUUCGAGAGGGUUCGUCUUAUUUUCAUCACCUCGAGCUUCACGCGGGAGCCGUUUGUCUAUAUCAAUGUGCAUUAAUGUAGGAGACACCGUGGAAGAGAUAAGGUGAGAUAACCUUGUUGAUAACAAAGAGCACUACGUGAAGGUCUGCGUUUGAUUGUGACAUUGGCGGACUUGUUACUACCACGCGCUUUGUAAACUCGACUUCUGUAUAGUCUGUGUGUUUAACUGCAUUGACGGCGGUUGAUAAAUGUCGAUAGAAGAGCUCUUAUCUCCUCACCUGGCACCUUUGUUUUGGAUUUGCCAAGGAUUUCCUAAAGCGACAGUGGGUAUACUCGACUGAAGGAUUUCGGGUUUUAAUCUGAAUCGGGAUCUAUACAUCCAAACUGGGAUCUAUGAGCGGAAAAGUGGCUAAGCCUAAAGAAGAAAAGGAUGCUUCAAAGGUCCAGGAUGAUGCUGCCCCAGAUACCCAGGAGUACAUUAUGUUGCGGCAGGAUUCCAUCCAUUCUGCGGAUAUAAGGGGUAAAGGCUCCCCUUUUCGUGCUAAGUGUCAUGAAAUCUUCUGCUGCCCACUGAAGCAAGUCUCCCACAAAGAAAGCUCAGAGC
Long non-coding RNA from Sinocyclocheilus rhinocerous, 743 nucleotides. RefSeq lists it as uncharacterized. The record is from RefSeq and is a predicted model, not a curated record. NCBI's taxonomy places the organism in Eukaryota, Metazoa, Chordata, Actinopteri, Cypriniformes, Cyprinidae. The transcript is spliced from 3 exons.